UAUGGACUAUUAUUUUUUUUUUGACAAAGAAAAAUAUGGACUAUUAUUGCAUAUGGACCUCAUGUAAUUUAACGUUUUAUACAAAUUAUUACUCAUGAUAAAGCCCUUGACGAACAAACUGAGUUCCACAAAUUCAGUGAGUCUUUUUUUUGUCUUUCAUAAGUCAUGACUAUUUUGGUUUUCCAGUUAGGUAAUUUAACCCAAGGGUGUAAAACUAUAAUGUUUUCUUGGGUUCGUAAUAUUUUUUGGAUGUUCGAUUAAAGAAUACAAAAUCACAAAGGUAAUACUGAACAUAAAACAUCGCUUUAGAAAAAAAAAUCCGAUUGGUUUUCGUUCAUAUAUAGUAAACCAAACUAAUUCUAACCUUUAAAACUAAAUUAGUUAGUUCAUAUAUAUUAAACCAUUGACGCAAUUAAAUCCUAAAAAUCCCUACUUGUUCGCUUCCAAUUCAAAAUUUUGGAAAGCAUUAUAUGCAAUGUAUCAAAAAAUAGACAACAAUAUUGACCAUUAUAUUUGACCAUAAACUUAAGCGGAUCACAUUGAUUAAAUUGACUAAUUAUUUUUAUGUCAACAUUUAUGAUGAUUUCUUAAUCAAAAAGUAUUGGUGCUUAAUUUAAGGGAUUGCAUGCAACUUGAAAUGAAUUUCUGUUUUGAACGUAUUGGACAAUCAGUCAAGAUUUCGUUUACAAUAUAAAUCUUAUAGUCCCAAAUGACAUGUUCUUUAUACGCCAUAUAACUCCUAACUUAGUGAGUCACAUAUCAAAUAAAACGAAAAAAGAGUAUGUUAUUAUUAAAUUAUGAAAGUCUAGAUAUUAAUCUAUAUUGAUAUGUGAUUCAUAUAUGUGUCAUAAUUAAAUUGACACUAUAUAAAAGUAAUAAAACAAAGACACGACACAUUAUCCACAUUCACAUAAUACAUGCUAUGUAGGAAGAUCACAUAAUACAUGUUAUGUAGAAACACCUAGGGGUUAUCCACAUUCACAUAAUACAUGCUAUGUAGGAAGAUCACAUAAUACAUGUUAUGUAGGAACACCUAAGGGGUGUAUUCAGUAUAAAAUUUGAGGUGAUUUGAUUUUUAAUGAAGUUUUAGAUAAUUUUAAAGAAUUGCAGAGAAUAAAAUGAUUUUUGUUAAACCACUUUAGAAUAUCACCUAAAACCAUGAGAUUUGAGUUUUAAUUUUUUUAACUAAGAAACUCCACCCGAACACUCUAAAAUCACUUGAAAACUUUAAAACUCCACAACUUAAAAUAUUUUCAAUAACAGUGGAUUUCAUAAUACUUUAUAAAAUAUCAAGUUCAAUAACACUGGAUUUUAAAUGAGUUUUUAAAAUUCGUGUUUCAAUAACAGUGAAUUUGUCAUUUUGACACAAAUAACUUAAAACUCUCAAUUGAAUACACUUCCUAGAGUUAUUUAUUUUAGGAUAAAGCCUCUCUCUCUGGAGAGAGAAAAAUCUCUCUGCACCUCUUACCCAUCAAAAAUCAUUCAGAGGGGGGAGAGAUUAAUUAGAGGCUUUUUUGUUUGUAUUAUAUUCGAUCUUUGAUCGAUCUUUGAUCGAUCUUUUUAUUCCGUUAGCGGACCUUUCGUUUCGAUCUCUAGAUUGAUCUUGUUUUUCCUGUUAGCGGAUUUCUCUUCCCUUGGGGAUUUUGGAGUGUCUCAAUCUCAAUUUCAAAGUGGAUCUUCAUGUUCUAUCUUUCUUUGAUUUGGGAUUGAUUAAUAAUCUAUCUAUCUAUCUUCACCUUGUCCUCUGGUUCUUAGUUUUUAAAUCCCGUUUGAUAUUGAGAAAGGAUUGUUUUUUCUCUGGUUAUUCUCGGGGCCGGAAUUUGAAAAGAAUCAAUCUUUAUCUUCUGAUAAAAUUGGCUGGUUGGCCUUUGGGCAGAGUAUCUUAUCAGAUCUGGUCCUUGAGUUAUUUGAUUUAGCAAGAGAAUUUUGGAAGACUCAGUAGAGUUGAAGCUUUUCAUAUAGAAAAGUGUUUUAACGAAGUUUUUUUCAAAAAUUCUUCUCAGAAGCUUGUCACCGUUUUACACAUCUGGAGAAAAACAUGAAAUUUUUUAGUAUCUAUGGUUAUUGGAGGGGGAAGGUUACGAUGCAAUUGGACUAAGCUGGUGAAUCCUUGCCAUGUUUCAGAAUUUUUUUUUUUCUUUUUUUUUUUUGUUUUUGCUUCUAGUCGGAGAAGAAGAGCGGCGACCAUAGCAUUAUAUAAUAUAAUUAUUUUGUAUAUAGUUAUAUACAUAAUAUAAUUAUUUUUUUUGACACACAGUACGACCAUAUCAACUAUAUACUAUAAUUAUUUUGUAUAUAUUUAUAUAACUAUAUAAUUUAGUUUAUAUAUGUGCGGCUUAUGUAGACAUUGUAAACAUGUUUUAGAAACAUAACCAUGAUAAAGAAUCGUUGAGGCAUCUAACGAUUACAAAUGUCUCCUAACGUUGGUCUAUAACAAUGGCAAUACAUAUAAUUAUGCCGGUGAAAAUAGGGUUAUUAGUUAAAAGUGCGAGAAGAAUUCUUGUAAUGACACGAAUGAAAUGACAUUUUGGUUAAUAACACAUGAGGAUAAGAUUAGUUUGUAGGAAUGCUCAUCUUUUAAUAAAAAGGAAAUAUGGAUAAAAUUGGCUUAUUGGAAGGAUUUGAGAGAGUAUCAAAUUUUCAUAUUAUAUUUAGAAUUUAUAAAAAUGAUAUAAAAUUCAAGUUUAUUGAUCUAAUCAUUUAUAUAGCUUUUCAAAAUAUCACCUCCUGUGGUAGUAUAUGAAUUUUAAAUAGACUAUUCAGUUCUUUUUAUUUGAUCACCAAAUAAAUUACUGAAAGAAGAAAAUACAAAUAAUACAUGGAUUAAUUCUUAAGUUAUUAUAUAUUUUAUAAAAUAAUAUAUGUAUAUAUAUAUAUAAUUAAAAUAAUAUUUUAAAGGAUAAAUAUUAUUUAAAUAAUCUCUUAAUGUUAAAAUGUAACUUUAAAUGACUUUAAAGUUUAGAACAGUAAUUUUACAAAACUACUCAAUUUUCAUAUUUCAUUGAAUUUAUUAUGUAUUCAAAUUCUCAACUCCCUGGUCCAAAUAAUUAAUGCUAAGUUCUCAUAUUUAGAUCUCCUUUUGUUAUUAAAUUCAUAUAUGUUACCAAAUUUAGGUAAACUAGUUACAUAAUGCAUUUGCAAAAAGUCGUUUUAUGUAAGAAAAUCGGUCAAAGAAAUAAAAGUAAUAAAGACCAUAUCUUCUUUUUUUUUGUCAGACUAAAGACCAUUUCUUUUUGAACAUAAUUAACACCAUAUUUUCCUUAUGUGUUUAUAUAUUCAUACAUUCUUCUUAAUCAUAUAUGCACAUAAGAAAAAGUUUAAUAAAUAUGAAUAUGAAGAAAUGCAUUUUAUUGAUGAUGAUGGUAUCAAUAAUAAUUGUGACCAUGGAAAGAAAAGUAGAAGGAAAUUCAUGCAUGGAUAAAUGUUUGUUCUUGUGCGGAUUUUUCUUUCAAGAUCCAGUAGCAUGUGGAGACAAAUGUGAGCUCGAAUGCCAUCCACCUCUUUCAUCUCAAUCAUCACAGAUGGAGACUAUAGGAAUGAGAAACAUAAGAGGAUAAAUAUAUCAAGCAAAUAAUUAUGAUAUUUGUAAGAACGUUUUUUAUUUACGCUCGCUAUGUUCCUAACUCUAUACACACAUGAAUGUUCAAAAAAAAAAAAAAACUCUAUACAUUAAUAAAAGGACAGUGUGGUGAUAAUGGA
This is a long non-coding RNA of Brassica napus (rape), 3699 nucleotides long. RefSeq lists it as uncharacterized. The record is from RefSeq and is a predicted model, not a curated record. Lineage: Eukaryota; Viridiplantae; Streptophyta; Magnoliopsida; Brassicales; Brassicaceae. The transcript has 2 exons.